RNA transcript from Cervus elaphus (red deer), 3841 nucleotides. It is a transcript of the gene named septin-2-like, with no coding region annotated. NCBI's taxonomy places the organism in Eukaryota, Metazoa, Chordata, Mammalia, Artiodactyla, Cervidae. The transcript has 3 exons. The record is from RefSeq and is a predicted model, not a curated record.
AGUUCAGUCGUGUGCUCUUCCUAUCCGCGAUUGAUGAAACUUCGCUAAAGAUGUCUUAAGGAACAACCAACUCUGUUUAUAAAUCCAGAAACUCCUGGAUAUGUUGGAUUUGCAAAUCUUCCCAAAUCAAGUUCAUUGAAAAUCAGUGAAAAAAGGUUUUGAAUUCACACUAGUGGUGGUCGGUGAAUUGGGUCUUGAGAAAUCGAUGCUCAUAAGCCUCAUUUUGCUGACUGACCUCUACCCAGAAAGAAUCUUACCUGAAGCCACAUAGAAAAUUUCAAGAACUGUCCAAAUUGAGGCUUUGACUGUUGAAACUGAAGAGGAUCAGUGAAAAAAGGUUUUGAAUUCACACUAGUGGUGGUCGGAGAAUUGGGUCUUGAGAAAUCGAUGCUCAUAAGCCUCAUUUUGCUGACUGACCUCUACCCAGAAAGAGUCUUACCUGGAGCCACAGAGAAAAUUUCAAGAACUGUCCAAAUUGAGGCUUUGACUGUUGAAACUGAAGAGUGAGGGGUCACGCUGCGUCUGACCGUGGUGGACAAACCAGGCCUCAGGGACGCCGUCAACGGCAGGGACUGCUUUAAAACAGUCAUCUCCCACAUCGAUGGCAGUUUGAACAGCACCUGCAGGAUGAGAGUGGUCUGAACAGAGGUGCAUCGUCGGUAACAGGGUUCACUGCUGCUUUUACUUCAUUUCCCCCUUCAGACACAGACUUCCACCAUUGGAUGUUGCGUUUGUGAAGGUGAUACACAGCAAGGUGAAUACUGCGCCUGUCAUUGAGAAAGGCUACACGCUCACACUGAAGGAGCGGGAGCACCUGAAGAAAAGGAUUCUGGAUGAAAUUGAGGAACAUGACAUCAGAAUCUACCACUUUCCUGAUGCAGAGUCCGGUGAAAAUGAAGAUUUUAAAGAGCAGACUAGACUUCUCAAGGCCAGCAUCCCUUUCUCUGUGGUUGGAUCCAGUCAGCUGGUUGAAGCCAAAGGCAAGGAGGUCAGAGGCCACCUCUACCCUUGGGGCGUCCUGGAGGUGGAGAACCCGGAGUACAAGGACUUAUUAAAGCUGAGGACGAUGCUCCUCACUCACAUGCAGGAUCUCCAAGAGGUGACCCAGGACCUUCACUAUGAGAAUUUCUGAUCAGAGAGGCUCAAGAGAGGUGGCAGAAAAGUGGAAGAUGAGGACAUGAAUAAAGACCAGAUUUUGCUGGAAAAGGAAGCUGAGCUCCACCACAUGCGAGAGAUGAUCACUGCAUGUGAUCAAGUGCAGCUACAGCUGCAGGGCAGCGAUGGUGAUGGCAAGGUCCAUGGGCACCAUGUGUGAGGAAGCACUUUGCAAGAUAAACAUUCCCGUGAGUAACACAGCUGCGUGUUUGCAAGACUGUUGGAGGGGUGCCCUGUCCACAUUUCACAGUGCCUGUGCCUGAGAAUUUAAUUUUUUUUUAACUUUUGAUGUGUUAUUUUGUAUGAAGUACCUUAACAUUUACAUUUCAUUGUGAUGUUAUACUUUAUAUUUUGUGAGGUAAACUGUCCAUUUUCCUUCUUCUUCCACUUUAAGUAACCACUAACACUAGAAUUGGUUCCCAGGGACCAGUCAGCACGUAUAGUUAGUAGCUGGAUUUGGUUUGACUGGCCUAACCGACUAAUCAUGAUUUACUUCCAGAACAUUCAGAUUUCUGAGAAUGUUCCUGAGCAGUAGAGACAUGAACACAGAAGGAUGAGCUGUCUGGGUAUGAGUCCAUUUCUCACCAAACCAUGGCACCUGCUUCCCUGCCUUACUUUUGUUUGAGCACAACAUCCAAAACCGGUUUUGCUGCUAUAAUUCCAUACUGUUAAUUUAUCUGCACAUUAUCUGUUUACCAAACAAAAAGAAAUCUAAUUAGAUACAUGUUUAUACUUCAAUAGCUUUUUUACAAACAGGCUGUUAGGGGUGAGGGAGAAGGAAGGGAGAUGGUGAUGUGGAGAAGCGCUGAGCUCCAGGGCUGAGGACACCCAGGAAGGAAGGGAGAUGGUGACGUGGAGAAGCGCUGAGCUCCAGGGCUGAGGACACCCAGGAAGGAAGGGAGAUGGUGACGUGGAGAAGCGCUGAGCUCCAGGGCUGAGGACACCCAGGAAGGAAGGGAGAUGGUGACAGCUGGCCAGGUGCACUGCAGAAGACCAUCUGGUGUUCUCCCGACCGCCCUUGCACUGUUGACUGAUUUUGAGUGCUCAAGAGCUAUAGGUUUAGGUGCAUUGUACAGUUUUCUCCAAGAAGUGUUCCAUGACCUUAGGGUACCUCCAUGCAGGGCCAGUUAUUUGGGUUAUUUUGGCAUUUAUCAACUAUGCUAGUAAAAGCUGUUUUUUUAAAGAGGGGGCGGGGUGGCAGUACUGGAAAGCGGUAGACAUAGUAAGCCCAAUGCAGUCUACUUAGGGCCAGCUGCCACCUAAUGGAUGCAUGGGUGUGGGUGGGCCUACAUUUUCAAAUCCCCUUUUGUUUUGCUGACCCAAUCUAAAUACCUUUGCUCAUAGAUAAUCGCUUUUUUACUAAGAGAUAAAAACUUUACCUAUAAAAGUGUAUUUUGAAAACUUAUUUUACACAGCAAUUUUGUGUCCAUUGAAACUAACCUUUUACCAAUAAAGCACUAUUGUUUAGAUAUUAAAAAAAAAAAAGAUUACAGCAGAGAAGAGAUUUUCUAAAAAGCAUGUAAAGUUGCUGUAGUGCUAUGAUGGGAACAAGCACCCACAGGGGCGGAGCUGUAAUGACCUGUACACUGAUUCAGUUAAUGCUAAGGAGACAAGCGCAUAUUAGUUCUUUGAUGGAAAUAGCUAACAAGAGGGCAGGUGAUAACUUCCCUACAAACAUCCACUGUGGUAACCUUAAAUUGAUGUCCUUGUUUUAUUGUUGAUCUCUACCCACUACCACUCACAUCACUGCUCAUUAGCUGUCUUCUCACCCAGAAUAAGUCAGCUUUGAGAAGAUGUGAACGUUAGGAAAUUAAUCAAAAGAUAUCCUUAGAGCCUGGGCUCAGUGAAUCAGUCAGAGUAAGACAAAUCAUUGCUCAAAUGCUGCUUUGCAUACUGUUCACUAAUAAAAAUAAAUGCUAUAAAUUAAUUAUUUAUCAUGUACCACAGGGUACUGUGUACGUUAGGCCAGGCAAAAUGUUGUUUCCACUUUCUUUGGAUUUUUUAAUUGUGCUAAUCAAAUUUCAGGUUCUCUGGUUCUAAAUGGAAGAUUCAUCUUUUUUGUCUCUUUGCAGUCCAAAUAAAGACUAGAGUCAUUUCCCAAAACAUUAAAAAAAAAGGUCCCUUAAGGCACUCAAAAAGAAAAAAAAGGAUAAAAAUGACAUGUGAGCAAAUGAGUCUGAAAAACACUAGCUACAUAUAUUUUUUGAGUAUCAAAUUUCAUAUCAAGUAGAGCAGUGGCUCAGAGAAAUCUUGCACCAAAGAACUUUUUCUUAUUUCAGCUUACACUUUUACUUUUCAACUUAUUCAACUCACUUUUGCUUAUUCAACAUAAGAAUUAUACAUAAAUAGCUAACAUUUAUUGACCAGGACUCUUGUCCAGGAUAUUAUUUUAUUGCCUAUCCCAAUUUUAUUUCACUGUAACACAUAUUAACUGUCUGAUAAACCAUCAAAUGAUCACCCAUUUAAGGGAAACAAAAUGUUGUACACCAUGUAUGACUUGUGAACCUCAUGGUCUGAAUCAGCACUACCCAAUAGAUAGACAGUAGAUCCAGUAGAUAGACAGCCACACUACGUGAUUUUUAGUUUUCUAGUUAAAUGGACAAAAAAAAACAAAAGAACUCAGGUAAAAAUAAUUUUAAUAAUAGAUUCUACUAACCUAUGGGGCUUCCUUGAUGACUCAGACAGC